UACGGAGGGUGCAAGCGUUAUCCGGAUUCACUGGGUUUAAAGGGAGCGUAGGUGGGGUGGUAAGUCAGUGGUGAAAUCUCCGGGCUUAACUCGGAAACUGCCGUUGAUACUAUCAUUCUUGAAUAUUGUGGAGGUCAGCGGAAUAUGUCAUGUAGCGGUGAAAUGCUUAGAUAUGACAUAGAACACCAAUUGCGAAGGCAGCUGGCUACACAUAUAUUGACACUGAGGCACGAAAGCGUGGGGAUCAAACAGG
Molecule: ribosomal RNA, 253 nt
Filed under: uncultured bacterium
Lineage: Bacteria
Description: partial 16S ribosomal RNA
Rfam family: Bacterial small subunit ribosomal RNA
Source: RNAcentral